This 261-nucleotide ribosomal RNA is filed under the name uncultured Streptococcus sp. RNAcentral describes it as "partial 16S ribosomal RNA". It matches the Rfam family "Bacterial small subunit ribosomal RNA", at positions 1121 to 1382 of the family's 1533-position model. The record is from RNAcentral. Lineage: Bacteria; Bacillati; Bacillota; Bacilli; Lactobacillales; Streptococcaceae.
AUCAUUCAGUUGGGCACGUCUAGCGAGACUGCCGGUAAUAACCGGAGGAAGGUGGGAUGACGUCAAAUCAUCAUGCCCCUUAUGACCUGGGCUACACACGUGCUACAAUGGUUGGUACAACGAGUUGCGAGUCGGUGACGGCGAGCUAAUCUCUUAAAGACCAAUCUCAGUUCGGAUUGUAGGCUGCAACUCGCCUACAUGAAGUCGGAAUCGCUAGUAAUCGCGGAUCAGCAUGCCGCGGUGAAUACGUUCCCGGGCCUU